CCUACGGGAGGCUGCAGUGAGGAAUAUUGGUCAAUGGGCGCGAGCCUGAACCAGCCACGUAGCGUGAAGGAUGACUGCCCUACGGGCUGUAAACUUCUUUUAUAAAGGAAUAAAGUGCGGCACGUGUGCCUUUUGGUACGGACUUUAUGAAUAAGGAUCGGCUAACUCCGUGCCAGCAGCAGCGGUAAUACGGAGGAUCCGAGCGUUAUCCGGAUUUAUUGGGUGUAAAGGGAGCGUAGAUGGGUUGUUAAGUCAGUUGUGAAAGUUUGCGGCUAAACCGUAAAAUUGCAAUUGAUACUGGCAGCCUUGAGUGCAGUUGAGGUAGGCGGAAUUCGUGGUGUAGCGGUGAAAUGCUUAGAUAUCACGAAGAACUCCGAUUGCGAAGGCAGCCUACUAAACUGCCACUGACAUUGAUGCUCGAAAGUGUGGGUAUCAAACAGGAUUAGAUACCCUAGUAGUC
RNAcentral lists this ribosomal RNA (460 nucleotides) under uncultured bacterium. RNAcentral's name for it is "partial 16S ribosomal RNA". It matches the Rfam family "Bacterial small subunit ribosomal RNA", at positions 338 to 795 of the family's 1533-position model. The record is from RNAcentral.